Long non-coding RNA from Passer domesticus (house sparrow), 260 nucleotides. RefSeq lists it as uncharacterized. NCBI's taxonomy places the organism in Eukaryota, Metazoa, Chordata, Aves, Passeriformes, Passeridae. The record is from RefSeq and is a predicted model, not a curated record. The transcript is spliced from 3 exons.
AGAUUGGGAACGUGACUUCCAUCACUGGGAAACACUGUUAAAGCACAGUUUAAGGAUGUUGGAGCUUGGUGAUGCUAACCCGGUUGGUGAAAGUGAUCUGGCUUCCCAACCCACGUCCAGGACUGAGCCUCUGGGAGAUGCUGAGGUGAUGGACCAAAAGGCAGGGCUGAAGGAGGUGUUUCCCCAAGGAAGCAGGGGCUCAUUGGCAGCCCCUGCUGCAGGGAGGAAGGCGAUGGCAGACACGGGCACAGGCACAGCAG